GGGGGUGCUGCUGGAGGCCAGGACACUGAGUGGACAGAGCCCAGGUUCCGGCCUUGGUUCAGCCACUACGUACACCGCAGCACCUACAUCUGUUCAAGCACGUGCUUCCUGUGUCGGACGUUUGAGCCGCUUCUGGGGUGGUUUGGGCCCUUGUGUUUGCUGUCAGCCAAAUGUAACCAACAUCGUAUGCUCCUUCUUUGCCCACUUACUUGAUUAUUUCCUUAGAAAUAGUCUCAUCUCUGGCCCUUUUUAAAAGCCACCCAGUCCCAGAGUUCUGCCCUUUGCCCUCUUUCUCUUGCCAUCAGCUCUCCCUGGGCACCCCGAUCCCUGCCCUGCUCUCCCUCCAGAGGCCCCUGCUGGGCUGCGUCUCAGGAGGACCCGGGUCUCACGAUUCAGACAUUCAAAUUUAGGCUUUCGAUGUUCUCUUCAAAGAGGCUUGAAUGUGCCCUGAAAAGGUAGAAAGUUGUAUAUUAUUUUACAUUAACUGCUAAGUGUAAACAGUGAAAAUAAAACAAUUCUGAUUGCCCUGUUUUGAU
Molecule: non-coding RNA, 536 nt
Organism: Manis javanica (Malayan pangolin)
Lineage: Eukaryota; Metazoa; Chordata; Mammalia; Pholidota; Manidae
Source: RefSeq, a predicted model, not a curated record